GAUGAACGCUGGCGGCGUGCCUAACACAUGCAAGUCGAGCGAGACGCUUAGAAUUGACACUUCGGUUGAUUUUCUAAGAAGAAAGCGGCGGACGGGUGAGUAACGCGUAGGCAACCUGCCCCAUACACAGGGAUAGCCUCGGGAAACCGGGAUUAAGACCUGAUAAUACAACCGAUAUACAUGUAUCUGGUUGUCAAAGAUUUAUCGGUAUGGGAUGGGCCUGCGUCUGAUUAGUUAGUUGGUAAGGUAACGGCUUACCAAGGCAGUGAUCAGUAGCCGACCUGAGAGGGUGAACGGCCACAUUGGAACUGAGACACGGUCCAAACUCCUACGGGAGGCAGCAGUGGGGAAUAUUGCACAAUGGGCGAAAGCCUGAUGCAGCAACGCCGCGUGAGCGAUGAAGGCCUUUGGGUCGUAAAGCUCUGUCCUUGGGGAAGAAAAAAUGACGGUACCCUUGGAGGAAGCCCCGGCUAACUACGUGCCAGCAGCCGCGGUAAACGUAG
This 503-nucleotide ribosomal RNA is filed under the name uncultured bacterium. RNAcentral describes it as "bacterial SSU rRNA". It matches the Rfam family "Bacterial small subunit ribosomal RNA", at positions 28 to 530 of the family's 1533-position model. The record is from RNAcentral.